UGGGGAAUAUUGGACAAUGGGCGAAAGCCUGAUCCAGCCAUGCCGCGUGUGUGAAGAAGGUUUUCGGAUUGUAAAGCACUUUAAGUUGGGAGGAAGGGCAGUAAGCGAAUACAUUGCUGUUUUGACGUUACCGACAGAAUAAGCACCGGCUAACUCUGUGCCAGCAGCCGCGGUAAUACAGAGGGUGCAAGCGUUAAUCGGAAUUACUGGGCGUAAAGCGCGCGUAGGUGGUUCGUUAAGUUGAAUGUGAAAGCCCCGGGCUCAACCUGGGAACUGCAUCCAAAACUGGCGAGCUAGAGUAGGGCAGAGGGUGGUGGAAUUUCCUGUGUAGCGGUGAAAUGCGUAGAUAUAGGAAGGAACACCAGUGGCGAAGGCGACCACCUGGGCUCAUACUGACACUGAGGUGCGAAAGCGUGGGGAGCAAACAGG
RNAcentral lists this ribosomal RNA (429 nucleotides) under Pseudomonadota bacterium. RNAcentral's name for it is "Proteobacteria bacterium partial 16S ribosomal RNA". It matches the Rfam family "Bacterial small subunit ribosomal RNA", at positions 355 to 776 of the family's 1533-position model. The record is from RNAcentral. Lineage: Bacteria; Pseudomonadati; Pseudomonadota.